Molecule: ribosomal RNA, 490 nt
Filed under: uncultured bacterium
Lineage: Bacteria
Description: partial 16S ribosomal RNA
Rfam family: Bacterial small subunit ribosomal RNA
Source: RNAcentral
AUUGAACGCUGGCGGCAGGCCUAACACAUGCCAGUCGAACGGUAACAGGAAGAAGCUUGCUUCUUUGCUGACGAGUGGCGGACGGGUGAGUAAUGUCUGGGAAACUGCCUGAUGGAGGGGGAUAACUACUGGAAACGGUAGCUAAUACCGCAUAACGUCGCAAGACCAAAGAGGGGGACCUUCGGGCCUCUUGCCAUCGGAUGUGCCCAGAUGGGAUUAGCUAGUAGGUGGGGUAACGGCUCACCUAGGCGACGAUCCCUAGCUGGUCUGAGAGGAUGACCAGCCACACUGGAACUGAGACACAGUCCAGACUCCUACGGGAGGCAGCAGUGGGGAAUAUUGCACAAUGGGCGCAAGCCUGAUGCAGCCAUGCCGCGUGUAUGAAGAAGGCCUUCGGGUUGUAAAGUACUUUCAGCGGGGAGGAAGGGAGUAAAGUUAAUACCUUUGCUCAUUGACGUUACCCGCAGAAGAAGCACCGGCUAACUCCGUG